RNAcentral lists this ribosomal RNA (693 nucleotides) under Triticum aestivum (bread wheat). RNAcentral describes it as "partial small subunit ribosomal RNA". Lineage: Eukaryota; Viridiplantae; Streptophyta; Magnoliopsida; Poales; Poaceae. The record is from RNAcentral.
AUGGGGAGGGGGAAGAUUGCGAUUGAGAGGAUCGACAACACAACGAACCGUCAGGUGACCUUCUCCAAGCGGCGCGGAGGGCUGAUGAAGAAGGCCCGGGAGCUUGCCAUCCUCUGUGACGCCGAUCUCGCACUCAUCGUCUUCUCCAGCACGGGUCGCCUCUAUGACUUCGCGAGCUCCAGUGGAAUGGAGGCAAUACUAGAGCGGUACCAGGAGGCAAAAGAGGAGCACUGCGGAGUGUUGAAUCCAACAUCUGAGGCAAAGUUAUGGCAGAGGGAGGUUACAACCUUGAGGCAGCAAGUGCAAAACUUACACUACAAUAAUAGGCAAUUGUUGGGAGAGGAGCUAUCUGGUACCAGUGUUCGAGAUCUGCAGUUUCUGGUGAACCAGGUUGAGAUGAGCUUGCAUUCCAUAAGAAAGAGGAAGGAGCAAGUUAUGGCUGCGGAGAUCCACGAACUCAACCAAAAGGGAUUGCUUGUUCAGAAGGAAAAUAUCGAACUUGACAAGAAGUUGAGUAUUGCUCAUGAGCAGAACAUAGAGCUGCGGAAGCAGCUUUCCGCGGCCAUGAAAUCGAGUGAGCAGCAAGCCAGCGGAAGCAGCUCAAAAGCUGCUGCCGGAUUAUUGUUGUCUACUAGAGUACGUGAACCAAAUAUUGACCUUGAGUUGCGCCAGCAGGAGCAUGAGGAUGAAUAA